UCAGUAAAACGAACCUCAAUCGGUCGAUUACACUGCUUUCCCUUUCGUUUGAGAAUUUAGUUGGAAUUUGUGUUUGAAGUGAGUGUAAACGUUUUAUCCGCUUUCCAGUGAGUAAUUUCACCCACCAUUUCUUUUGUUCAUUCGUCACAUCGAACAUUUGCGAUUAUUUUGUGAGCGUUAAAGCAGGGAGUGAACAGGAUUGUGAUUACGCCGUGAAACCUCGUAAUGGCAUCAAAAUCAUUUGAAACUGUACCACCAACUGUACCAUCAUACGAAGAGGCAAUGAAUGGCCCAACGCAGCAACUGUAUCCGAACAUUGAGCCGAAUCCAUAUUAUCCUCAAACGGUGCAGCCUCAACUACAAGUCCACAACAUUACCAUUGGCGGACUUGCAGCAACUUGUGGAUCCUGUCGAAUGCCGUUGCAUACACGUUCUGGUUAUGUAUCCACCUGUUCAACGCACUGUGCCUUUCUGUUCUGCUGUUUGUUUUUGUGUUGGCCAUGCGCUCCAUUCGUUUACUGCACGAAGAUGUGUCGUGAGCCGAGACUCUUUUGCGCCAAUUGCGGUUCACAAAUCUAAUGAAUUUCGAUUUCGUUUCACCAUCCAAAUCCGAAGAAAACGUCAAAUUUGAAUCGAAAAAAUUGUAAUUUUUCGCUGUUUUAGAAGUAAGCUCUUUUCUGUUGAUCAGAAGAACAGAAACUCUCUAGCGAUUGUGUUUUGUGACGCAGUCUCUUUCUCGUUUAUUGAUUGAUCAUCUUCGUAUACAAUCCAAUGAUUCAUGAUCGUUUUGUGAGCAUAAAAAUUUACAUUUACGAAACAUGAUUUUCAAUAAAAAUUUUGCAC
Bradysia coprophila is the source of this 843-nucleotide long non-coding RNA. Lineage: Eukaryota; Metazoa; Arthropoda; Insecta; Diptera; Sciaridae. The record is from RefSeq and is a predicted model, not a curated record.